GACGAACGCUUUCGGCGUGCUUAACACAUGCAAGUCGAACGGAAAGGCCCUGCUUUUGUGGGGUGCUCGAGUGGCGAACGGGUGAGUAACACGUGAGUAACCUGCCCUUGACUUUGGGAUAACUUCAGGAAACUGGGGCUAAUACCGGAUAGGAGCUCCUGCUGCAUGGUGGGGGUUGGAAAGUUUCGGCGGUUGGGGAUGGACUCGCGGCUUAUCAGCUUGUUGGUGGGGUAGUGGCUUACCAAGGCUUUGACGGGUAGCCGGCCUGAGAGGGUGACCGGCCACAUUGGGACUGAGAUACGGCCCAGACUCCUACGGGAGGCAGCAGUGGGGAAUAUUGCACAAUGGGCGGAAGCCUGAUGCAGCAACGCCGCGUGCGGGAUGACGGCCUUCGGGUUGUAAACCGCUUUCGCCUGUGACGAAGCGUGAGUGACGGUAAUGGGUAAAGAAGCACCGGCUAACUACGUGCCAGCAGCCGCGGUGAUACGUAGGGUGCGAGCGUUGUCCGGAUUUAUUGGGCGUAAAGGGCUCGUAGGUGGUUGAUCGCGUCGGAAGUGUAAUCUUGGGGCUUAACCCUGAGCGUGCUUUCGAUACGGGUUGACUUGAGGAAGGUAGGGGAGAAUGGAAUUCCUGGUGGAGCGGUGGAAUGCGCAGAUAUCAGGAGGAACACCAGUGGCGAAGGCGGUUCUCUGGGCCUUUCCUGACGCUGAGGAGCGAAAGCGUGGGGAGCGAACAGGCUUAGAUACCCUGGUAGUCCACGCUGUAAACGGUGGGUACUAGGUGUGGGGUCCAUUCCACGGGUUCCGUGCCGUAGCUAACGCUUUAAGUACCCCGCCUGGGGAGUACGGCCGCAAGGCUAAAACUCAAAGGAAUUGACGGGGCCCCGCACAAGCGGCGGAGCAUGCGGAUUAAUUCGAUGCAACGCGUAGAACCUUACCUGGGUUUGACAUGGAUCGGGAGCGCUCAGAGAUGGGUGUGCCUCUUUUGGGGUCGGUUCACAGGUGGUGCAUGGCUGUCGUCAGCUCGUGUCGUGAGAUGUUGGGUUAAGUCCCGCAACGAGCGCAACCCUUGUUCACUGUUGCCAGCACGUUAUGGUGGGGACUCAGUGGAGACCGCCGGGGUCAACUCGGAGGAAGGUGGGGAUGACGUCAAGUCAUCAUGCCCCUUAUGUCCAGGGCUUCACGCAUGCUACAAUGGCUGGUACAGAGAGUGGCGAGCCUGUGAGGGUGAGCGAAUCUCGGAAAGCCGGUCUCAGUUCGGAUUGGGGUCUGCAACUCGACCUCAUGAAGUCGGAGUCGCUAGUAAUCGCAGAUCAGCAACGCUGCGGUGAAUACGUUCCCGGG
Molecule: ribosomal RNA, 1343 nt
Filed under: uncultured bacterium
Lineage: Bacteria
Description: 16S ribosomal RNA
Rfam family: Bacterial small subunit ribosomal RNA
Source: RNAcentral